This 468-nucleotide ribosomal RNA is filed under the name uncultured bacterium. Its description in RNAcentral is "partial 16S ribosomal RNA". It matches the Rfam family "Bacterial small subunit ribosomal RNA", at positions 28 to 507 of the family's 1533-position model. The record is from RNAcentral.
GACGAACGCUGGCGGCGUGCUUAACACAUGCAAGUCGAACGGAAAGGCCCUGCUUUUGUGGGGUGCUCGAGUGGCGAACGGGUGAGUAACACGUGAGUAACCUGCCCUUGACUUUGGGAUAACUUCAGGAAACUGGGGCUAAUACCGGAUAGGAGCUCCUGCUGCAUGUUGGGGGUUGGAAAGUUUCGGCGGUUGGGGAUGGACUCGCGGCUUAUCAGCUUGUUGGUGGGGUAGUGGCUUACCAAGGCUUUGACGGGUAGCCGGCCUGAGAGGGUGACCGGCCACAUUGGGACUGAGAUACGGCCCAGACUCCUACGGGAGGCAGCAGUGGGGAAUAUUGCACAAUGGGCGGAAGCAUGAUGCAGCAACGCCGCGUGCGGGAUGACGGCCUUCGGGUUGUAAACCGCUUUCGCCUGUGACGAAGCGUGAGUGACGGUAAUGGGUAAAGAAGCACCGGCUAACUACGUG